This 255-nucleotide ribosomal RNA is filed under the name uncultured bacterium. Its description in RNAcentral is "partial 16S ribosomal RNA". It matches the Rfam family "Bacterial small subunit ribosomal RNA", at positions 524 to 776 of the family's 1533-position model. The record is from RNAcentral.
UACGUAGGGUGCAAGCGUUUGUCCGGAAUUAUUGGGCGUAAAGAGCGUGUAGGCGGCCCGGUAAGUCCGCUGUGAAAGUCCAGGGCUCAACCCUGGGAUGCCGGUGGAUACUGUCGGGCUCGAGUCCGGAAGAGGAGUGUGGAAUUCCUGGUGUAGCGGUGAAAUGCGCAGAUAUCAGGAGGAACACCAAUGGCGAAGGCAGCACUCUGGGGACGUGACUGACGCUGAGACGCGAAAGCGUGGGGAGCAAACAGG